Molecule: non-coding RNA, 29 nt
Filed under: Mus musculus (house mouse)
Lineage: Eukaryota; Metazoa; Chordata; Mammalia; Rodentia; Muridae
Source: RNAcentral
UGAGGGCUUAAGUGAUGGGUUUGCCGCAA